RNAcentral lists this unclassified non-coding RNA (200 nucleotides) under Coniosporium sp. RNAcentral describes it as "partial internal transcribed spacer 2". The record is from RNAcentral. Lineage: Eukaryota; Fungi; Ascomycota; Dothideomycetes.
UUAAGUUCAGCGGGUAUCCCUACCUGAUCCGAGGUCAACCUGAGAAAGUGGGCGCGAGCCCGGUUUUUCCGGCGGACGAAGCCCCAGCCUCCAAAGCGAAAUAGCGAUUUACCACGCUUGAAGCCGGGACACCGUCGCCGAUGUCUUUGAGGCACGCGGGCAUCCACGCGUAUUUCUACGCGUGGUCCCCCGCGACGCCC